UCUUGACCUCGGAUCAGGUAGGGA
This 24-nucleotide ribosomal RNA is filed under the name Didymellaceae sp. MUT 4313. Its description in RNAcentral is "partial 28S ribosomal RNA". Lineage: Eukaryota; Fungi; Ascomycota; Dothideomycetes; Pleosporales; Didymellaceae. The record is from RNAcentral.